UGGGAGCGAAACGGUCGCUGGGCUGCGCUUGUGUCUGUCGCUGCCUCGCUGUCCCUAUCGGGCUUCCCAGCAGCGGCCUAGCGGAAAAGUGAAAGAUGUCUGAAUAUAUUCGGGUAACCGAAGAUGAGAACGAUGAGCCCAUUGAAAUACCAUUGGAAGAUGAUGGGACUGUGCUGCUGUCCACGGUUACAGCCCAGUUUCCAGGGGCUUGUGGGCUUCGCUACAGGAAUCCAGUGUCUCAAUGUAUGAGAGGUGUCCGGCUGGUGGAAGGAAUUCUGCAUGCCCCCGAUGCUGGCUGGGGAAAUCUGGUGUAUGUUGUCAACUAUCCCAAAGAUAACAAAAGAAAAAUGGAUGAGACAGAUGCUUCAUCAGCAGUGAAAGUGAAAAGAGCAGUCCAGAAAACAUCUGAUUUAAUAGUGUUGGGUCUCCCAUGGAAAACAACUGAACAAGGACUGAAAGACUAUUUUAGUACCUUUGGAGAAGUUCUUAUGGUGCAGGUCAAGAAAGAUCUUAAGACUGGUCAUUCAAAGGGGUUUGGAUUUGUUCGUUUUACGGAAUAUGAAACACAGGUGAAAGUAAUGUCACAGCGGCAUAUGAUAGAUGGACGGUGGUGUGACUGUAAACUUCCUAAUUCUAAGCAAAGUGCAGAUGAGCCUUUGAGAAGCAGAAAAAUGUUUGUGGGGCACUGUACAGAGGACAUGACUGAGGAUGAGCUGCGGCAGUUCUCCCAGUACGGGGAGGUGAUGGAUGUCUUCAUCCCCAAGCCGUUCAGGGCCUUUGCCUUUGUUACAUUUGCAGAUGAUCAGAUUGCGCAAUCUCUUUGUGGAGAGGACUUGAUCAAUAAAGGAAUCAGCGUUCAUAUAUCCAAUGCCAACCCUAAGCACAAUAGCAAUAGACAGAAAGAAGUGGAAGAUUUGGUGGUAAUCCAGGUGGCUUUGGGAAUCAGGGUGGAUUUGGUAAUAGUAGAGGGAGUGGAGCUGGUUUGGAAAACAAUCAAGGUAGUAAUAUGGGUGGGAUGAACUUUGGCGCGUUCAGCAUUAAUCCAGCCAUGAUGGCUGCAGCCCAGGCAGCGCUACAGAGCAGUUGGGGUAUGAUGGGCAUGUUAGCCAGCCAGCAGAACCAGUCAGGCCCAUCGGGUAAUAACCAAAGCCAAGGCAACAUGCAGAGGGAGCCAAACCAGGCCUUCGGUUCUGGAAAUAACUCUUAUAGUGGUUCUAAUUCUGGUGCAGCAAUUGGUUGGGGAUCGGCAUCAAAUGCAGGGUCGGGCAGUGGUUUUAAUGGAGGCUUUGGCUCGAGCAUGGAUUCUAAGUCUUCUGGCUGGGGAAUGUAGACAGUUUGUGGUUGGUUGGUAUAGAAUGGUGGGAAUUCAGAUUUUUCUAAACUCAAGGUAAGUAUAUUGUAAAAUACAUACGUACUAAGAAUUUUCAAAAUUGGUUUGUUCAGUGUGGAGUAUAUUCAGCAGUAUUUUUGACAUUUUUCUUUAGAAAAAGGAAGAGCUAAAGGAAUUUUCUAAGUUUUGUUACAUGAAAGGUUGAAAUAUUGAGUGGUUGAAAGUGAACUGCUGUUUGCCUGAUUGGUAAACCAACACACUACAAUUGAUAUCAAAACGUUUCUCCUGUAAUAUGUUAUCCCUGGACUUGUCAAGUGAAUUCUUUGCAUGUUCAAAAUGGAAACCAUUGAUUAGAACUACAUUCGUUACUCCUUGUUUUAAUUUGAACCCCACCAUAUGGAUUUUCUUCCUUAAGAAAGUCUCCUUUUGGGAGCUCAUGGUGUCACAGCGUUUGGUUCUUUUGCUUUGUUUUUUAACACUUGUCUCCCCUCGUGUGCAAAAGUACAAUGUGAAGCCUUCAUUUAAUCUCUGCAGUUCAUCUCAUUUCAAAUGUUUAUGGAAGAAGCACUUCAUUGAAAGCAGUGCUGUAAAUAUUCUGCCAUAGGAAUACUUCUGUCUACACGCUUUCUCGUUCAAGAAUUCGUCAUCACGCAUCACAGGCCGCGUCUCUGACGGUGGGUGUCCCAUUUUUAUCCGCUACUCUUUAUUUCAUGGAGCCGUAUCAGCGCUAUGAACGCAAGGCUGUGAUAUGGAACCAGAAGGCUGUUUGAACUUUUGAAACCUUGUGUGGUAUUGGUGGUGAUGCCGAGGCAU
RNA transcript from Sapajus apella (tufted capuchin), 2143 nucleotides. It is a transcript of the gene named TAR DNA-binding protein 43 pseudogene, with no coding region annotated. The record is from RefSeq and is a predicted model, not a curated record. The transcript has a single exon. NCBI's taxonomy places the organism in Eukaryota, Metazoa, Chordata, Mammalia, Primates, Cebidae.